AGUGAACGCUGGCGGUAGGCCUAACACAUGCAAGUCGAACGGCAGCACAGUAAGAGCUUGCUCUUACGGGUGGCGAGUGGCGGACGGGUGAGGAAUACAUCGGAAUCUACUUUUUCGUGGGGGAUAACGUAGGGAAACUUACGCUAAUACCGCAUCCGACCUACGGGUGAAAGCAGGGGAUCUUCGGACCUUUCGCGAUUGAAUGAGCCGAUGUCGGAUUAGCUAGUUGGCGGGGUAAAGGCCCACCAAGGCGACGAUCCGUAGCUGGUCUGAGAGGAUGAUCAGCCACACUGGAACUGAGACACGGUCCAGACUCCUACGGGAGGCAGCAGUGGGGAAUAUUGGACAAUGGGCGCAAGCCUGAUCCAGCCAUACCGCGUGGGUGAAGAAGGCCUUCGGGUUGUAAAGCCCUUUUGUUGGGAAAGAAAAGCAGCAGGUUAAUACCCCGCUGUUCUGACGGUACCCAAAGAAUAAGCACCGGCUAACUUCGUG
This 492-nucleotide ribosomal RNA is filed under the name uncultured bacterium. RNAcentral describes it as "partial 16S ribosomal RNA". It matches the Rfam family "Bacterial small subunit ribosomal RNA", at positions 29 to 507 of the family's 1533-position model. The record is from RNAcentral.